Molecule: transfer RNA, 68 nt
Filed under: Marilia sp. XG-2021
Lineage: Eukaryota; Metazoa; Arthropoda; Insecta; Trichoptera; Odontoceridae
Description: tRNA-Leu
Rfam family: tRNA
About the family: Transfer RNA (tRNA) molecules are approximately 80 nucleotides in length.
Source: RNAcentral
UCUAUAAUGGCAGAAUAAAUGCAUUGGUCUUAAACCCCAAACAUAAAGUUUUUAAACUUUUUUUAGAA